RNAcentral lists this ribosomal RNA (434 nucleotides) under uncultured bacterium. RNAcentral's name for it is "partial 16S ribosomal RNA". It matches the Rfam family "Bacterial small subunit ribosomal RNA", at positions 341 to 792 of the family's 1533-position model. The record is from RNAcentral.
ACGGAAGGCAGCAGUGGGGAAUAUUGCACAAUGGGGGAAACCCUGAUGCAGCGACGCCGCGUGAACGAUGAAGUAUUUCGGUAUGUAAAGUUCUAUCAGCAGGGAAGAUAAUGACGGUACCUGACUAAGAAGCACCGGCUAAAUACGUGCCAGCAGCCGCGGUAAUACGUAUGGUGCAAGCGUUAUCCGGAUUUACUGGGUGUAAAGGGAGCGUAGGUGGUAUGGCAAGUCAGAAGUGAAAUGCGGGGGCUCAACCCCUGAACUGCUUUUGAAACUGUCAAACUAGAGUGCAGGAGAGGAAAGCGGAAUUCCUAGUGUAGCGGUGAAAUGCGUAGAUAUUAGGAGGAACACCAGUGGCGAAGGCGGCUUUCUGGACUGUAACUGACACUGAGGCACGAAAGCGUGGGGAGCAAACAGGAUUAGAUACCCUGGUA